UGGGGAAUCUUGCGCAAUGGACGAAAGUCUGACGCAGCCACGCCGCGUGAGUGAAGAAGGCCUUCGGGUUGUAAAGCUCUGUCGGAAGGGACAAAAACUGAGCAAGUUAAUAGCUACUCACUUGAUGGUACCUUCAAAGGAAGCACCGGCUAACUUCGUGCCAGCAGCCGCGGUAAUACGAAGGGUGCAAGCGUUGCUCGGAAUUAUUGGGCGUAAAGGGUAGGUAGGUGGUGAUAUUUGUCUGGGGUGAAAUCCCUGAGCUUAACUCAGGACGUGCCUUGGAAACGGUAUCACUAGAGUGCUAGAGAGGUUCGUGGAAUUCUUGGUGUAGCGGUGAAAUGCGUAGAGAUCAAGAGGAACAUCAGAGGCGAAGGCGACGAACUGGAUAGUGACUGACACUAAACUACGAAAGCGUGGGGAGCAAACAGG
RNAcentral lists this ribosomal RNA (429 nucleotides) under uncultured bacterium. RNAcentral describes it as "bacterial SSU rRNA". It matches the Rfam family "Bacterial small subunit ribosomal RNA", at positions 355 to 776 of the family's 1533-position model. The record is from RNAcentral.